RNAcentral lists this ribosomal RNA (500 nucleotides) under uncultured bacterium. RNAcentral describes it as "bacterial SSU rRNA". It matches the Rfam family "Bacterial small subunit ribosomal RNA", at positions 8 to 523 of the family's 1533-position model. The record is from RNAcentral.
AGAGUUUGAUCCUGGCUCAGGAUGAACGCUAGCGGCAGGCCUAAUACAUGCAAGGUGAACGGUAAGCGGGGUAGCAAUAUCACGCCUAGAGUACCGCAAGGGUGCGUAACACGUAUGCAAUCUGCCCUGUACAGGAGAAUAGCUCCCCGAAAGGGGAAUUAAUACUCCGUAAGAUCACACGAAGGCAUCUGAGAGUGAUUAAAACCACGGUGGUACAGGAUGAGCAUGCGGAUGAUUAGCUAGUUGGUAGUGUAACGGCCCACCAAGGCGACGAUCAGUAGCUGGUCUGAGAGGAUGAUCAGCCUCACUGGGACUGAGACACGGCCCAGACUCCUACGGGAGGCAGCAGUGGGGAAUAUUGGACAAUGGGCGCAAGCCUGAUCCAGCCAUGCCGCGUGGGUGAUGAAGGCCCUAGGGUUGUAAAGCCCUUUCGGCGGGGAAGAUAAUGACGGUACCCGCAGAAGAAGCCCCGGCUAACUUCGUGCCAGCAGCCGCGGUAA